UCAUCCUUUUUCGUUGUGUUUCAGUUUGGCCUGUCGUUGUCGUGCAGCGGCUAUUAAAGCGGGAAACUCGUGGUUUGCUCUGGAGAACUAUGGCGUUUGUUUCUCGGCUAAAGGACCUUUGUCAGAUUAUUUAAAAGAGUAAGUAAUCGGAAAAAAACACCAUUUCUUUUCGUACCAAAACGCUCCUAAUAAGCACACGUUUUUUUGAUCAAGGAGUAAAUGGGAUUCUGUAGCUUGUUUCUUUUGUUUUAGCUAUCCACUUGAUCCUGAAGAUCAUUGUGUCGGGGUCAUCAAACAUAACAAAACUAUUGUGAGCCAGGAAGAUGGAGAAAUCUGCGUGGGUGGAUAUUUCAGAGCCUAUAUGUACGAGAUUUCUAACAUUGGUGCUUCAGCACCAGCAGCUGCUCCAGAGGAAGAGGUCGAAGAAGUUGAAGUAGCCCGUGAGUAUCAUGUAUACAUGCUCGUAAUAGUAAUAGUAAUAGUAAUAGCAAUAGUAACAGCAACAGCAACAGCAACAGCAACAGCAACAG
This is a long non-coding RNA of Actinia tenebrosa (Australian red waratah sea anemone), 530 nucleotides long. The record is from RefSeq and is a predicted model, not a curated record. NCBI's taxonomy places the organism in Eukaryota, Metazoa, Cnidaria, Anthozoa, Actiniaria, Actiniidae.